RNAcentral lists this long non-coding RNA (315 nucleotides) under Cucumis sativus (cucumber). Its description in RNAcentral is "long non-coding RNA (CSAT_LNC001782)". The record is from RNAcentral. Lineage: Eukaryota; Viridiplantae; Streptophyta; Magnoliopsida; Cucurbitales; Cucurbitaceae.
GGGAGCCAAGCCGCUUGUUCUUCAAUUGCCAAUUGGCUCUGAAGAUAACUUUAAGGGUGUUGUUGAUCUUGUGAGGAUGAAAGCAAUAGUUUGGUCAGGAGAAGAGUUGGGUGCAAAGUUUCAGUAUGAAGAUAUUCCAGAAGACCUUGUGGAUCUUGCUCAAGACUAUCGGUCACAGAUGAUUGAGACUGUUGUUGAGUUGGAUGAUGAAGCCAUGGAGAACUAUUUGGAAGGGAUCGAACCUGAUGAGGCUACAAUUAAGAAGCUUAUUCGGAAGGGAGCAAUAUCUGCUUGUUUUGUUCCAGUACUGUGUGG